Acinonyx jubatus (cheetah) is the source of this 73-nucleotide non-coding RNA. NCBI's taxonomy places the organism in Eukaryota, Metazoa, Chordata, Mammalia, Carnivora, Felidae. The record is from the annotation of a RefSeq genome assembly.
GCCCGAGUAGCUCAGCUGGUAGAGCAUCAGGCUUUCAGUCUGAGGGUCCAGGGCUCAGGUCCCUGCUCGGGCG